RNAcentral lists this ribosomal RNA (2336 nucleotides) under Triticum aestivum (bread wheat). RNAcentral's name for it is "partial small subunit ribosomal RNA". Lineage: Eukaryota; Viridiplantae; Streptophyta; Magnoliopsida; Poales; Poaceae. The record is from RNAcentral.
CUGUGCUUCCAUCUGUGCUCCCACUUCAUCCUACGGCUGUCUUUUUUCCUUUUUUCUUUCUAAUCUAAUCAUCUCUCCCCUGAUUUUAAGAGGGUGGAGCCAGGCCUUAUUUUGUUCCAAUCAAAUCAAGCCACAUAGACGGAAGCAUGGAUAAGCCACGUAGACGGAAGCAUGGAUGGGCACACGACGGGGGAGCAGGCAAGUCUCGUCCAGUCAGAUGGCCUUGGAGGUACCACACGUCGCUUGCACCACAAUAAUUUUAGUUUGUGUUCCUAUCUGUAUAUUAAAGACAAGGAAAUAGUCAGGCAAAAAAGAGGGGUCGAAUUAUGACCUCACAAAAACAAACGUUUGCUGUCAUCAUUUGCACCACACAACGCCAAAACCCAUUCUUGGCAACAAAAGGAUGGUAGGAAAACAGAGUGUGCUCAUCUCCAAGACAAUAAGAUGAUUCUACGGCAUGCCAAGUGCCAACCAAUUCAACAUGUUAUUGUUACAGAUUCAAUACGGACAUCACACUCUCUAUUCAUGUUAGUUCAUAAAUGGUGCGCACCACUGCAACGACAGAUCCUUACCCGGUGUGCCUCUGACCUUCUCUUACUCCAUCUGCUUCACGAACUCGGCGAACGCGGCACAAGACGAGCCACCUUCCUUCCACGCCGCGGCGGCGCUCUCCUUUACGGCCAUGGCCCGUUCGACGACCGCUCGCCGACCUUCCGACUCCAUGUCCAUGAUCUGCCUAACCGUGGCAUCCACAUUAUCGGCCGAGACAAGCACCCCGGGUUUGUUAUACCCUCUCACCGCCACGCCAACCUUCAUCUCCUCGACAAUGUACACCUUGUUCAUCCACUGCUCGGCUUCCAGCGGCCAGCACACCAUCGGCACGCCGGUGGCCGCCGCCUCCAGCGUCGAGUUCCAUCCGCAGUGCGUCAUGAAGGCACCAGUGGACGCGUGACGCAGCACGUCCAUCUGUGGCACCCAGGACGCGGUCACCACGAGGCCCCUGCCGGCCGUCCGGGCCAAGAACCCCUCGGGGAGGAGAGACAGCGUCGCGUCCGGCUCGCCGGCGACUGCGGCGAAGGCAGGAGGCGCGCGCAGCACCCACAGGAACCUGUACCCGGACAUCUCGAGCCCCUUGGCCAUCUCCCUGAUCUGCUCCAGCGAGGCCGUGCAGCGGCUGCCGAAGCAGAUGUACACGACGCUGCCCUCGGGCUGCGCGUCCAGCCACGGGAGGCAUGGGUGCCUCUCCUCCUCCUCGCCGCCUUCCGCGAUCAACGGGCCUACGCAGUAGACCCGCGGGGCGGCGCGGCCGCGGAGGCAGCGCCCGUCUCUAAUCGCCGCCACCGCCGAGCCCUCCAGCGCCUCGAAGGUGUUCACCAGAAUGCCGCGCGCUGUCGCCAUCCGGCCGAAUACGUCCAGCACAGCCGCGUACAGGUCCGUCCCGCUGUCGAGCACCCCGUCGACCAAGUGAGACGCCGGCAUCGUGGGCACGCCGGGGAACGACACGGGCGCGUCGCCGAGAUCUUUCAAGUCUGCGCCGCUCCCGGAGCAAAAUGAAGGCAGCUCGAGGAAGACGGUAAGGUUGGCGGCGCCUGUGCAGUAGAAGAGGUGCCCCGGGACGCCCACCUCCGCGGCGACGUCGAGGAGGUAAGCGGCGAACAUGUCGGCCACGAGCGCGUGGACUGCGGGGAGGCUGCGGAGGAAGUCUCGCAGGCCGGGUGCCUGGGAGCGGAAGACAGCCUGCAUGCGGAUGAACGGGUGCACGGCGCCAACGGAGUGGUCAUCGGCAGGAGGGGGAGGGAGGGAGUGGACGGAGAGGGAGGGGAGCCGGGAGGCGUACCGGCCGAUGGUGGAGCGGAAAACCGGGGAGGUGAGGGUUGGGUCCGGGACGGCGACGGUGACGGCGAGGCCACGACGGAGGCAGACCGCAGCGAACUCCAUCAUGGGCGUGAGGUGGCUUAUGCUCUGGCCGGGGAUGAGGACCACCCUCCUCGCCGUCGCCAUUGGAGGGUUCUUCUUCUGGUUUUGUUUUGCUUUGGUUUGUGGCCUGUGGAUUUCGGGUUUGGACAGUGGACCGACCAGCCGAAAGUGCGAAACCUUGUGUAGCUUCUAGGUUGCUGUCUUAUCAGGAGAUGGACCGACCAGCCGAAAGUGCGAAACCUUGUGUAGCUUCUAGGUUGCUGUCUUAUCAGGAGAUAGGUGCAGUUCUUUUCGACUAGAGGUAAACGCGCGCUCGCCGCGCAGUUUUUAAGCAUGAUUGGUUUGAUGCUAAAAAUUGGCAUGCCAACAUUUGAUAAAUGCCAAAUAUUGGCUAGUGCUUGGUUGGUUACCAAGUUUAC